Molecule: ribosomal RNA, 547 nt
Filed under: uncultured Bacillota bacterium
Lineage: Bacteria; Bacillati; Bacillota
Description: uncultured Firmicutes bacterium partial 16S ribosomal RNA
Source: RNAcentral
UUACCGCGGCUGCUGGCACGUAGUUAGCCAGUGCUUCCUCCAUGGGUACCGUCAGGUAGUGAUCAUUUGCUAUCACUACGUUUCUUCCCCAAGGACAGAGCUUUACGACCCGAAGGCCUUCUUCACUCACGCGGCGUUGCUCCAUCAGGCUUUCGCCCAUUGUGGAAGAUUCCCCACUGCUGCCUCCCGUAGGAGUCUGGACCGUGUCUCAGUUCCAGUGUGGCUGAUCGUCCUCUCAGACCAGCUACGGAUUGUUGCCCUGGUAAGCUUUUACCCUACCAGCAAGCUAAUCCGACGCGAAGCUCUCCAAAAGCGAUGUAUAAAAACACCUUUACUGAAAGGAAGAUGCCUUCCUAUCAGACUAUAAAGGAUUAGCCCAACUUUCAUCAGGUUAUCCUUAACUUAAGGACAAGUUCUCCACGCGUUACUCACCCGUCCGCCACUCCCCGUGAUCCUUAUCUUACCCGAAGGUAAGUUAAGGGCGAGGCGUCCGACUUGCAUGUGUUAAGCACGCCGCCAGCGUUCGUCCUGAGCCAUGAUCAAACUC